Clupea harengus (Atlantic herring) is the source of this 145-nucleotide long non-coding RNA. RefSeq lists it as uncharacterized. The record is from RefSeq and is a predicted model, not a curated record. NCBI's taxonomy places the organism in Eukaryota, Metazoa, Chordata, Actinopteri, Clupeiformes, Clupeidae. The transcript has 2 exons.
UAUUAAUAUUUGGAUGCUGUGGUGUUGUAAUCAGUAUUGGUCAUUCCAAAUAAAUUAAUCAAAUGUGUGUGUGUGUGUGUGUGUGUGUGUGUGUGUGUGUGUGUGUGUGUGUGUGUGUGUGUGUGUGUGUGUGUGUGUGUGUGUG